UACGUAGGGCGCGAGCGUUGUCCGGAAUUAUUGGGCGUAAAGAGCUCGUAGGCGGCUUGUUGCGUCUGCUGUGAAAUCCCGGGGCUUAACCCCGGGCGUGCAGUGGAUACGGGCAGGCUGGAGGCAGGCAGGGGAGAAUGGAAUUCCCGGUGUAGCGGUGAAAUGCGCAGAUAUCGGGAGGAACACCGGUGGCGAAGGCGGUUCUCUGGGCCUGUUCUGACGCUGAGGAGCGAAAGCGUGGGGAGCGAACAGG
Molecule: ribosomal RNA, 253 nt
Filed under: uncultured bacterium
Lineage: Bacteria
Description: partial 16S ribosomal RNA
Rfam family: Bacterial small subunit ribosomal RNA
Source: RNAcentral